This 550-nucleotide ribosomal RNA is filed under the name uncultured bacterium. RNAcentral's name for it is "bacterial SSU rRNA". It matches the Rfam family "Bacterial small subunit ribosomal RNA", at positions 355 to 896 of the family's 1533-position model. The record is from RNAcentral.
UAGGGAAUCUUCGGCAAUGGACGGAAGUCUGACCGAGCAACGCCGCGUGAGUGAAGAAGGUUUUCGGAUCGUAAAGCUCUGUUGUAAGAGAAGAACGAGUGUGAGAGUGGAAAGUUCACACUGUGACGGUAUCUUACCAGAAAGGGACGGCUAACUACGUGCCAGCAGCCGCGGUAAUACGUAGGUCCCGAGCGUUGUCCGGAUUUAUUGGGCGUAAAGCGAGCGCAGGCGGUUAGAUAAGUCUGAAGUUAAAGGCUGUGGCUUAACCAUAGUAGGCUUUGGAAACUGUUUAACUUGAGUGCAGAAGGGGAGAGUGGAAUUCCAUGUGUAGCGGUGAAAUGCGUAGAUAUAUGGAGGAACACCGGUGGCGAAAGCGGCUCUCUGGCUUGUAACUGACGCUGAGGCUCGAAAGCGUGGGGAGCAAACAGGAUUAGAUACCCUGGUAGUCCACGCUGUAAACGAUGAGUGCUAGGUGUUAGACCCUUUCCGGGGUUUAGUGCCGUAGCUAACGCAUUAAGCACUCCGCCUGGGGAGUACGACCGCAAGGUUG